Non-coding RNA from Stipitochalara longipes BDJ, 144 nucleotides. The record is from the annotation of a GenBank genome assembly. Lineage: Eukaryota; Fungi; Ascomycota; Leotiomycetes; Helotiales; Hamatocanthoscyphaceae.
GGGGUCGUAGCUUAACGGUAAAGUGCACGAGACACACGCAGCGGAUUGUGAAAUAGAGGAUGUCAUGGUUUGCAUUUGAGAUCCCGCUCCGAAGCAAUCUGUCUGUUCAAUCGUGAGAUGAUGGUUCGAACCCAGCCGACUCCA